This 410-nucleotide ribosomal RNA is filed under the name uncultured Actinomycetales bacterium. Its description in RNAcentral is "bacterial SSU rRNA". It matches the Rfam family "Bacterial small subunit ribosomal RNA", at positions 355 to 776 of the family's 1533-position model. Lineage: Bacteria; Bacillati; Actinomycetota; Actinomycetes; Actinomycetales. The record is from RNAcentral.
UGGGGAAUAUUGCACAAUGGGCGCAAGCCUGAUGCAGCGACGCCGCGUGGGGGACGACGGCCUUCGGGUUGUAAACCUCUUUCGCCGGGGACGAAGCGUUAAGUGACGGUACCCGGAGAAGAAGCGCCGGCCAACUACGUGCCAGCAGCCGCGGUAAUACGUAGGGCGCGAGCGUUGUCCGGAAUUACUGGGCGUAAAGAGCUCGUAGGCGGCCUGUCGCGUCGCCCGUGGAAACCCGGGGCUCAACCCCGGGCGCGCGGGCGAUACGGGCAGGCUCGAGUGGUGCAGGGGAGACUGGAAUUCCUGGUGUAGCGGUGAAAUGCGCAGAUAUCAGGAGGAACACCGGUGGCGAAGGCGGGUCUCUGGGCAUCAACUGACGCUGAGGAGCGAAAGCGUGGGGAGCGAACAGG